Molecule: long non-coding RNA, 969 nt
Organism: Mesocricetus auratus (golden hamster)
Lineage: Eukaryota; Metazoa; Chordata; Mammalia; Rodentia; Cricetidae
Exons: 3
Source: RefSeq, a predicted model, not a curated record
UUGGGAGGCAGAGGUAGACAGAUCUCAGUUCAAGGCCACACUGAUCCAGUCCUAAAGAGAAACAGCUCACAUAAAGAUGAUCACAUGCCUUUAAUCCCAGCCCCAGAGAGGUAUAUGAAAGACAAGGAACCCAGUGUCUCAGGCUGCAUUCUGAGAUAGUCUCUGGAAUCUCUCCAGCCAUGCCAAUGAGAGGCAGCAGUCUGAGGCUCAGUGAAGAGCUCAUGCCUGGAUCAGCCCUUUCUGCCUGAGCUAGAGGGUCUCUCAAUCAAACCCAGAGCUUGCUGAUGCGGCUAAUCUCGCUGGUUAGCUUGCUCCGAGGAUCCUCCAUCCUCACCUUCCAAGGCCGGAAUCACAAGUGGGACCCCACACCCACCCUGUGCUUGGGUGAGGAGAACGGUGGAGACCGCAGGAGAAACCUGCCCCAGACAAGAGAGUUGAUGGACCAGCCCAGACCCACUCUGUGGCCUGCGCUCUAGAACCUCCGCUGGAGUCCUCAGAACGCCCGCCCCGCCCGUUCACACGACCUGAGCAAGCCCUUCGAAGCAGCCAUUCCAGUCAGGCUCUGCCGCAGACAGCCAAACGCCAGGAUGCUCUUUGCCUGGCCACAGUGAGUGGCUGCCCUAAGGACCCCCCCCCACUGCUACCAAAUGCGCAUGCUCCUGCCCUGAAAGAUGACUAUCUACCUGUGUUCACUGGCGUGGAAAGCUGUGAUAGUUAAGUGGGAAAAAAAGCAAUCCACUAACCAGCAUUCGUAGUACGGUUCUAUUUUUGCUUCAAUAUAUAUUUAAACACACAGAGAGAUACCCGCGUGUGCAAAGCUGCAUAGAAAUGAGCCUGGAAAAAAAAUGCGGAGAAAUGUUAAAAGUAGCGUCGCUGGGCAGUGAGAUUCUGGAUCCCUUCCACUCUCUUUCUCCUUAUAAUUUUCUGUUUUGUCUAUUUUUUACCACGAGCAUGUACUGCUUUUAUAUU